ACCAGUUGUAACCAUUGAUUAGCUUGGGGUGGUAAACAAAGUCAUAAUCUUUUCCCCAGGUAAAAUUUAGUAAUUAGCGUAUCAUAUCAAUACGCAAAUUAAUAUGCAAUCGAUCUUCAAAAAAAGGCAGGGCGCCCUGGAAACUGUAAAAAGGGCACAGGGCGCCACUCGGAAAAGGGCGGGCGCCGCGCCCUCUGAAAACGGCCUAGCUGGAACACUGAUAUAU
RNAcentral lists this long non-coding RNA (226 nucleotides) under Mytilus galloprovincialis (Mediterranean mussel). The record is from RNAcentral. Lineage: Eukaryota; Metazoa; Mollusca; Bivalvia; Mytilida; Mytilidae.